Arachis stenosperma is the source of this 1576-nucleotide long non-coding RNA. RefSeq lists it as uncharacterized. The transcript is spliced from 6 exons. NCBI's taxonomy places the organism in Eukaryota, Viridiplantae, Streptophyta, Magnoliopsida, Fabales, Fabaceae. The record is from RefSeq and is a predicted model, not a curated record.
UUCAGAGAACGGGAAGGAGAGGAGAGGGGAAGGGAGAGGCGCUGCCGGUGGUGACCACAACCACCGUCGCCGCUGACCUUGAGAGGAAAUCGAGAGUGAGAGAGAGACUCGCACAGUACGCGCGACGCGAGGAAGAGAAGGAGCUCAUCUUCGAUGCCGCCAUCACCGCGCCUUGCAGUUGCUGCCAUUGAUGGAAGCUGCCGCUGUCGUUGGAAGGAACCAAACAGGGAGAGGAGAUCGCUGUUGAUGCUGCCGCAGAGAGGAAGGAAGGGACGCGUGUGACAAACUGACGCAACAGAGGAGGAGCCGUUCCUCUGCUGCCGCCUCCGGAAUUCCUGGUCGCCGCCGUCGUUCAUGGUGAGUUGGUUGUGCCCUAGCUACCAGAACUACCAUUUCUGAACUCUUAUUGCUCUGUAACAAUCCUAUAGAUCAGGCAAGUCAAUUUUUCAUUGUGAAUGCUUUUUUCAAAUUGUAUUUUGUGUAGCUUGUAGGAACACGUGGUUUCAUAUGAGGCUAGAUUAUUUGUGUGUGAAUUGUACUUUUAUUGCUGCAUCUUUCUGCUUUUUGAUUUAGGUGUAUGAUAAUGAAAUUAUGAUCAUGUGAAUGUUUGAUUAAUGUGUGGUGAGUAUGGCAGAAUGCUAUUCGCGAAGGAUACAGACGGUACACUCCUAAUGCCAGAAUAUUUGAAUUGUACAAAGCGAUUUGUCAUAGUUGAAGGAGGAGAAUGGAAUUACAUAUACUCCUGAUCAGAUUGUAGUAAGCAAUGGAGCAAAGCAGAGUAUUGCUCUGACAGUGCUUGUAGAUUGUUCUCCCGGCGAUGAGACUUGUUUUCAAAGCAGACAACCUUGGUUGGGAAAUAUUGUCAAUUGCAGUGCCUUCUGCUAUGGCUUUGACAGCUGAUCCUAUUGCUUCACUGGUUGACACAACAUUCAUUGGCCGAAUAGAUAUUUAGAGCACUUGCUUAUCUUCACAAUAGCAUUGGAGUUUGUCAUAGGGACAUAAAACCUCAAAAUUACUGGUCAAUCCUCACAUCACCAGCUGAAGAUAUGUGACUUUGGAAGUGCUAAAAUUUUGAAAAAUCAUUAUGAAGGUGGGGGAGAACUUAAUCACACAUUGUGAAGAUUAAACACUAGAGUGAAAAUUACCAAUUUGUGGAGAUGAUGGAGAGCCUAUUUGCUAUUGUAAUAUAUCAAAUCUCUUUUAUUUAUGAUUAGAUAUUGUUAUGACUUAGACUUUUAUUAUGUGAUUUUAAAGUAUCUUAGUUUAUUUGACUUCUAAAGUCUUUUUUUAUAGGUCACAAACAUGUAUGAAUCUUAUAGAAUAUGUUAUAAAUCAAAUGUUCAAUUAGUUUUCUUUAGUAAUUUGAUUCAAAUAGUUGGAAUAUUAAUCUAUUGACACUAAAAAAUAGUUGGAAUAUUAAUUUCAAUGCAACAUGAGAAAACUAUUGUAAAUAAAGAAAUAUAUAACUAGAAAACACCGUUGUCAAAAGUUGCCAGAGACAAUGGUGUUAAAACCGUGGUCAAAAGCAGUUACACAAUGGCAAUGGUAUUAAAAUUGUUGCAAGGAAAAAAAAAAC